This 389-nucleotide ribosomal RNA is filed under the name Euricania longa. RNAcentral describes it as "partial 16S ribosomal RNA". Lineage: Eukaryota; Metazoa; Arthropoda; Insecta; Hemiptera; Ricaniidae. The record is from RNAcentral.
UUAAAUAGCCGCGGUAUUUUAACUGUGCAAAGGUAGCAUAAUAAUUAGUCUUUUAAUUGAGGUCUGGUAUGAAUGGUUAGACGAGAAAUAUACUUUAUUUGAAUAAUUUUUUUGAAUUUUAAGUUUAAGUUAAAAUUCUUAAAUUUUUAAGUGGGACGAUAAGACCCUAUAGAUCUUAAUAAUGAUUUUUUUUUUUUUUUUUGUUGUUUUUUAUUAUAAUUUUGAAUCUUUUUUUUGUUGGGGUGAUUACCAAAAAUUUAAACUUUGGUUUAUUUUUACAUAAUAUUUAUGGUUUUUUUGAUCCUUUUUUUUGAUUAUAAGAUGAAGAUACCUUAGGGAUAACAGCGUAAUUUGAUUGGAGAGUUCUUAUCGAUAAUUAAGUUUGCGAC